GCCCCGUUAGCUCAGUCGGUAGAGCAUGGGACUCUUAAUCAGAGGGCCGUGGGUUCGAGCCUCACAUAGGGCG
RNAcentral lists this transfer RNA (73 nucleotides) under Opisthorchis viverrini. It matches the Rfam family "tRNA". From Rfam's summary of the family: Transfer RNA (tRNA) molecules are approximately 80 nucleotides in length. Their secondary structure includes four short double-helical elements and three loops (D, anti-codon, and T loops). The record is from Rfam by way of RNAcentral. Lineage: Eukaryota; Metazoa; Platyhelminthes; Trematoda; Opisthorchiida; Opisthorchiidae.